Cercocebus atys (sooty mangabey) is the source of this 191-nucleotide small nuclear RNA. Its record names the gene U2. It matches the Rfam family "U2 spliceosomal RNA". Rfam says of the family: U2 is a small nuclear RNA (snRNA) component of the spliceosome (involved in pre-mRNA splicing). NCBI's taxonomy places the organism in Eukaryota, Metazoa, Chordata, Mammalia, Primates, Cercopithecidae. The record is from Ensembl.
AUCACUUCUCGGCCUUUUGGCUAAGAUCAAGUAUAGUAUCUGUUCUUAUCAGUUUAGUAUCUGAUAUGUCCUCUAUCCAAGGACAAUAUAUUAAAUGGAUUUUUGGAGCAGGGACAUGGGCUAGGAGCUUGCUCUGUCCACUCCACGCAUCAACCUGGUAUUGCCGUACCUCUAGGAACAGUGCACCCCUC